GUAAAAAGUCGUAACAAGGUCUCCGUAGGUGAACC
Molecule: ribosomal RNA, 35 nt
Filed under: Cladosporium cladosporioides
Lineage: Eukaryota; Fungi; Ascomycota; Dothideomycetes; Cladosporiales; Cladosporiaceae
Description: partial 18S ribosomal RNA
Source: RNAcentral